GAUGAAGAACGUAGCGAAAUGCGAUACGUAAUGUGAAUUGCAGAAUUCAGUGAAUCAUCGAGUCUUUGAACGCACAUUGCGCCCGCCAGUAUUCUGGCGGGCAUGCCUGUCCGAGCGUCAUUUCAACCCUCGCGCCCAUCUGGGCUGCGGUGUUGGGGACCGGCCUGCCCCCCCGGGGCGCGCCGCCCCCCAAAUUCAGUGGCGGUCUCGCUGCAGCCUCCCUUGCGUAGUAGCACACCUCGCACCGGAGCGCAGCGCGGCCACGCCGUAAAACCCCCGACCCCCAUGAGUUUGACCUCGGAUCAGGUAGGAAUACCCGCUGAACUUAAGCAUAUCAAUAAGCGGAGGA
Molecule: unclassified non-coding RNA, 349 nt
Filed under: soil metagenome
Description: partial contains 5.8S ribosomal RNA, internal transcribed spacer 2, and large subunit ribosomal RNA
Rfam family: 5.8S ribosomal RNA (bases 1-120)
Source: RNAcentral